Molecule: ribosomal RNA, 274 nt
Filed under: uncultured bacterium
Lineage: Bacteria
Description: partial 16S ribosomal RNA
Rfam family: Bacterial small subunit ribosomal RNA
Source: RNAcentral
AUACGGAGGGGGCUAGCGUUGUUCGGAAUUACUGGGCGUAAAGCGUACGCAGGCGGAUUGUUAAGUUAGAGGUGAAAUCCCAGGGCUCAACCCUGGAACUGCCUUUAAAACUGGCAAUCUCGAGUUAUGGAGAGGUAAGUGGAAUUCCUAGUGUAGAGGUGAAAUUCGUAGAUAUUAGGAGGAACACCAGAGGCGAAGGCGGCUUACUGGACAUAUACUGACGCUGAGGUACGAAAGUGUGGGGAGCGAACGGGAUUAGAAACCCUUGUAGUCC